This 430-nucleotide ribosomal RNA is filed under the name Bacteroidota bacterium. RNAcentral's name for it is "Bacteroidetes bacterium partial 16S ribosomal RNA". It matches the Rfam family "Bacterial small subunit ribosomal RNA", at positions 355 to 776 of the family's 1533-position model. Lineage: Bacteria; Pseudomonadati; Bacteroidota. The record is from RNAcentral.
UAGGGAAUCUUCGGCAAUGGGGGGAACCCUGACCGAGCAACGCCGCGUGAGUGAAGAAGGUUUUCGGAUCGUAAAGCUCUGUUGUUAAGGAAGAACGAGUGUGAGAAUGGAAAGUUCAUACUGUGACGGUACUUAACCAGAAAGGGACGGCUAACUACGUGCCAGCAGCCGCGGUAAUACGUAAGGGGCGAGCGUUGUCCGGAAUUAUUGGGCGUAAAGAGUGCGUAGGCGGCAAAUUAAGUCAGAUGUGAAAACUAAGGGCUCAACCCAUAGAUUGCAUCUGAAACUGAUAUGCUUGAGUCAAGGAGAGGAAAGUGGAAUUCCUAGUGUAGCGGUGGAAUGCGUAGAUAUUAGGAGGAAUACCGGUGGCGAAGGCGACUUUCUGGACUUGAACUGACGCUGAGGCACGAAAGCGUGGGGAGCAAACAGG